RNAcentral lists this ribosomal RNA (425 nucleotides) under uncultured bacterium. RNAcentral's name for it is "bacterial SSU rRNA". It matches the Rfam family "Bacterial small subunit ribosomal RNA", at positions 356 to 773 of the family's 1533-position model. The record is from RNAcentral.
GGGGAAUUUUGGACAAUGGGGGCAACCCUGAUCCAGCCAUCCCGCGUGUGCGAUGAAGGCCUUCGGGUUGUAAAGCACUUUUGGCAGGGAAGAAGAGCCACGGGAUAAUACCCUGUGGUGCUGACGGUACCUGCAGAAUAAGCACCGGCUAACUACGUGCCAGCAGCCGCGGUAAUACGUAGGGUGCAAGCGUUAAUCGGAAUUACUGGGCGUAAAGCGUGCGCAGGCGGUUUGGCAAGAAGGAUGUGAAAUCCCGGGGCUUAACCUCGGAACUGCAUUCUUAACUGCCAGGCUAGAGUAUGUCAGAGGGGGGUAGAAUUCCACGUGUAGCAGUGAAAUGCGUAGAGAUGUGGAGGAAUACCGAUGGCGAAGGCAGCCCCCUGGGAUAAGACUGACGCUCAUGCACGAAAGCGUGGGGAGCAAAC